This 80-nucleotide microRNA precursor is filed under the name Marmota monax (woodchuck). Lineage: Eukaryota; Metazoa; Chordata; Mammalia; Rodentia; Sciuridae. The record is from RNAcentral.
CUAAACAUCUCAUUUCCUAUGCCAAGUCCUUUUUGUUCAGAACAAAAGGGACUUGGCAUAGGAAAUGGGAUGUUCCAUUU